RNAcentral lists this ribosomal RNA (456 nucleotides) under uncultured organism. RNAcentral's name for it is "bacterial SSU rRNA". It matches the Rfam family "Bacterial small subunit ribosomal RNA", at positions 28 to 507 of the family's 1533-position model. The record is from RNAcentral.
GACGAACGCUGGCGGCAUGCCUAACACAUGCAAGUCGAACGGGGGUAGCAAUACCCUAGUGGCGAACGGGUGAGUAACGCACGAGCAACCUACCUUUCACAGGGGGAUAACACCGAGAAAUUGGUGCUAAUACCGCAUAAGACCACAGUAACGCAUGUUACAGUGAUAAAAACGAAUUAGUGGUGAAAGAUGGGCUCAUGUCCCAUUAGCUAGUUGGUGAGAUAACAGCCCACCAAGGCAACGAUGGGUAGCCGACCUGAGAGGGUGAUCGGCCACACUGGAACUGAGACACGGUCCAGACUCCUACGGGAGGCAGCAGUGGGGAAUAUUGGGCAAUGGGCGAAAGCCUUACCCAGCAAUGCCGCGUGAGUGAAGAAGGUCUUCGGAUUGUAAAGCUCUUUGAUUGGGGACGAAUAAAUGACGGUACCCAAAGAACAAGCCCCGGCUAACUACGUG